GCAAGUCGAGCGAGACGGUUAAGAUUGAUCCUUCGGGUGAUUGAUUAACUAGAAAGCGGCGGACGGGUGAGUAACGCGUGGGUAACCUGCCCUACACACAAGGAUAGCCAUUGGAAACGAUGAUUAAUACUUGAUAACACAUUUAGAUCACAUGGUCUUAAUGUCAAAGAUUUAUCGGUGUAGGAUGGACCCGCGUCUGAUUAGCUAGUUGGUAAGGUAACGGCUUACCAAGGCGACGAUGGUUAGCGGGUCUGAGAGGAUGAUC
This 265-nucleotide ribosomal RNA is filed under the name uncultured bacterium. RNAcentral's name for it is "partial 16S ribosomal RNA". It matches the Rfam family "Bacterial small subunit ribosomal RNA", at positions 57 to 305 of the family's 1533-position model. The record is from RNAcentral.